Molecule: small RNA, 489 nt
Filed under: Pan troglodytes (chimpanzee)
Lineage: Eukaryota; Metazoa; Chordata; Mammalia; Primates; Hominidae
Description: processed transcript
Source: RNAcentral
GUGCCUCACUCUAGUGAGGGUUUCCAGACUGUGCUGCCUCAUUUCCUGAGACUCUCCCCUGUCUGGGAAGUAUUUCUUUAUAAAUUUUCUCACGUUUACUUUAGUUUUCUUACAGUAUUUGUUGGGGUUACUUUUAAUCUACCAAUGUUGCAUGAUGUCCCAAACUAUCUUUAGAGACUAGAAGCAUUCUGAGUCUUAGGCUAAGUGGGCCUAGCCUCCAAUCUGAAACAGGAACAAAAAGGAUAUCCUUUAAAAUGUUAAAAGUCAUCUGCAACCUCAUAUCAUUGAUUGUUUUACUCAAAACUAUAUUUAAACUAAUAGGCACUCUUUUCAACUCCAGAAAUUUCCAAAGGCAGAAAGAAAUGCUAGAUUUAGAGUCUACUUAAUUUCCCUCUGGUAGCUUCGCAACUCCAGAUUUGGGUGGGGGAGGUGUAAUUAGGUAAGUUGAGUGCUGCUCUAAAAAAAUUAAAACAUGGUAUAUUGAAGAUU